GGCCUGCUAGCUCAGUCGGUUAGAGCGUCGUGCUAAUAACGCGAAGGUCAUAGGGUCGAUCCCUGCGCAGGCCA
This 74-nucleotide transfer RNA is filed under the name Dermacentor silvarum. RNAcentral's name for it is "transfer RNA isoleucine (anticodon AAU)". It matches the Rfam family "tRNA". Rfam says of the family: Transfer RNA (tRNA) molecules are approximately 80 nucleotides in length. Their secondary structure includes four short double-helical elements and three loops (D, anti-codon, and T loops). Further hydrogen bonds mediate the characteristic L-shaped molecular structure. tRNAs have two regions of fundamental functional importance: the anti-codon, which is responsible for specific mRNA codon recognition, and the 3' end, to which the tRNAs corresponding amino acid is attached (by aminoacyl-tRNA synthetases). tRNAs cope with the degeneracy of the genetic code in two manners: having more than one tRNA (with a specific anti-codon) for a particular amino acid; and 'wobble' base-pairing, i.e. permitting non-standard base-pairing at the 3rd anti-codon position. The record is from RNAcentral. Lineage: Eukaryota; Metazoa; Arthropoda; Arachnida; Ixodida; Ixodidae.